RNAcentral lists this ribosomal RNA (422 nucleotides) under uncultured bacterium. RNAcentral describes it as "partial 16S ribosomal RNA". It matches the Rfam family "Bacterial small subunit ribosomal RNA", at positions 360 to 774 of the family's 1533-position model. The record is from RNAcentral.
AAUAUUGCGCAAUGGGGGCAACCCUGAUCCAGCCAUGCCGCGCGUGUGAAGAAGGGCUUCGGAUUGUAAAGCACUUUAAGUUGGGAGGAAGGGCUUUAGGCUAAUACCCUGAAGUUUUGACGUUACCAACAGAAUAAGCCCCCGCUAACUCUGUGCCAGCAGCCGCGGUAAUACAGAGGGUGCAAGCUGUAAUCGGAAUUACUGGGCGUAAAGCGCGCGUAGGUGGUUCAGUAAGAUGGGUGUGAAAUCCCCGGGCUUAACCUGGGAACUGCUUGCAUAACUGCUGAGCUAGAGUACGGUAGAGGGUAGUGGAAUUUCCUGUGUAGCGGUGAAAUGCGUAGAUAUAGGAAGGAACACCAGUGGCGAAGGCGACUACCUGGACUGAUACUGACACUGAGGUGCGAAAGCGUGGGGAGCAAACA